Molecule: ribosomal RNA, 468 nt
Filed under: uncultured bacterium
Lineage: Bacteria
Description: partial 16S ribosomal RNA
Rfam family: Bacterial small subunit ribosomal RNA
Source: RNAcentral
GACGAACGCUGGCGGCGUGCUUAACACAUGCAAGUCGAACGGAAAGGCCCGGCUUUUGUGGGGUGCUCGAUUGGCGAACGGGUGAGUAACACGUGAGUAACCUGCCCUUGACUUUGGGAUAACUUCAGGAAACUGGGGCUAAUACCGGAUAGGAGCUCCUGCUGCAUGGUGGGGAUUGGAAAGUUUCGGCGGUUGGGGAUGGACUCGCGGCUUAUCAGCUUGUUGGUGGGGUAGUGGCUUACAAAGGCUUUGACGGGUAGCCGACCUGAGAGGGUGGCCGGGGACCUUGGGACUACGAGAGGGACCAGACUCGAACGGGAGGCAGUGGUCGGGAACAUGGCGCAGUGGGGCGACGCGAGAUGCGAAAGCGCUGCGUGCGUGAUGACGGCCUUCUGGGUGUAAACAGAUUUGGCAUGUGACGAAGAGUGAGUGACGGUAACGAGUAAAGAAGCACCGGCUAACUACGUG